RNAcentral lists this ribosomal RNA (459 nucleotides) under Streptococcus parasanguinis. Its description in RNAcentral is "bacterial SSU rRNA". It matches the Rfam family "Bacterial small subunit ribosomal RNA", at positions 28 to 468 of the family's 1533-position model. Lineage: Bacteria; Bacillati; Bacillota; Bacilli; Lactobacillales; Streptococcaceae. The record is from RNAcentral.
GAUGAACGCUGGCGGCGUGCCUAAUACAUGCAAGUAGAACGCUGAAGCUUGGUGCUUGCACCGAGCGGAUGAGUUGCGAACGGGUGAGUAACGCGUAGGUAACCUGCCUCUUAGCGGGGGAUAACUAUUGGAAACGAUAGCUAAUACCGCAUAAAAGUCGAUAUCGCAUGAUAUUGAUUUGAAAGGUGCAAAUGCAUCACUAAGAGAUGGACCUGCGUUGUAUUAGCUAGUUGGUGAGGUAACGGCUCACCAAGGCGACGAUACAUAGCCGACCUGAGAGGGUGAUCGGCCACACUGGGACUGAGACACGGCCCAGACUCCUACGGGAGGCAGCAGUAGGGAAUCUUCGGCAAUGGGGGCAACCCUGACCGAGCAUACGCCGCGUGAGUGAAGAAGGUUUUCGGAUCGUAAAGCUCUGUUGUAAGAGAAGAACGAGUGUGAGAUGUGGAAAUGUUCACA